Molecule: ribosomal RNA, 406 nt
Filed under: uncultured bacterium
Lineage: Bacteria
Description: partial 16S ribosomal RNA
Rfam family: Bacterial small subunit ribosomal RNA
Source: RNAcentral
AUUGAACGCUGGCGGCAGGCCUAACACAUGCAAGUCGAGCGAGCGGCGGACGGGUGAGAAAUGUCUGGGAAACUGCCUGAUGGAGGGGGAUAACUACUGGAAACGGUAGCUAAUACCGCAUACCAUCAGAAGUGCCCAGAUGGGAUUAGGUAGUAGGUGGGGUAACGGCUCACCUAGGCGACGAACCCGAUCUGGUCUGAGAGGAUGACUAGCCACACUGGAACUGAGAAACGGCCCAGCCUCCGACGGGAGGCAGCAGUGGGGAAUAUUGCACAAUGGGCGCAAGCCGGAUGCAGCCAUGCCGCGUGUGUGAAGAAGUCCUUCGGGUUGUAAAGCACUUUCAGCGGGGAGGCGUUACCCGCAGAAGAAGCACCGGCUAACUCCGUGCCAGCAGCCGCGGUAAUUC